This 72-nucleotide transfer RNA is filed under the name Camelus dromedarius (Arabian camel). It matches the Rfam family "tRNA". From Rfam's summary of the family: Transfer RNA (tRNA) molecules are approximately 80 nucleotides in length. The record is from Rfam by way of RNAcentral. RNAcentral also lists the same sequence under 1 other name. Lineage: Eukaryota; Metazoa; Chordata; Mammalia; Artiodactyla; Camelidae.
GUGGGUAUAGUUCAGGGGUAGAGCAUGUGCUUAGCAUACACGAGGUCUUGGGUUCAAUCCCCAGUACCUUUA